CAGGACGAGUUUUCCUGAGGCCUUUCUCCCC
RNAcentral lists this non-coding RNA (31 nucleotides) under Homo sapiens (human). Lineage: Eukaryota; Metazoa; Chordata; Mammalia; Primates; Hominidae. The record is from RNAcentral.